ACUCCUACGGGAGGCAGCAGUGGGGAAUAUUGGACAAUGGGCGAAAGCCUGAUCCAGCAAUGCCGCGUGUGUGAAGAAGGCCUGCGGGUUGUAAAGCACUUUCGGUAGGAAAGAAAAGGCCGUCGCUAAUACCGGCGGUUCUUGACGUUACCUACAGAAGAAGCACCGGCUAAUUCCGUGCCAGCAGCCGCGGUAAU
RNAcentral lists this ribosomal RNA (197 nucleotides) under uncultured bacterium. Its description in RNAcentral is "partial 16S ribosomal RNA". It matches the Rfam family "Bacterial small subunit ribosomal RNA", at positions 335 to 524 of the family's 1533-position model. The record is from RNAcentral.